This 659-nucleotide long non-coding RNA is filed under the name Penaeus japonicus. RNAcentral's name for it is "uncharacterized LOC122248823". Lineage: Eukaryota; Metazoa; Arthropoda; Malacostraca; Decapoda; Penaeidae. The record is from RNAcentral.
AAAUUGCUCUACUUUUAUAAUGAGUGACUGAAAGAGUGGGAAGAUUCAAAUUAUGAUGCUUCAAGUUGCCUCGCUCUGAAAUAAAACCCAUCCUGGAGACUGGACAAGCAAAUCUAUCCCCAGUCCACAAUGGGCUAAGGCAGUCAUGCCAAUACUUAGUGAAAACAGAGCAUAGGUGCCAUAUCCUACAUUAUGCUUUUGAUCUAAGACAAAUAUCUAGUCAUAAUGUUAACCCAUUAAUGACAGGAGGCGUGUUUUUCAUCAUACAUGAUGCAGGAGCUCUUGUCUGAGGACAGGCGUCAUUUCAUUUGGGGAAUUUGUUAUUUUAUUGUGCUAUGAGUGAUGAUGACAAUUGCAGUCAUAAUUAUUAUAACUGCCAUAAUAUUAAUUAAAAUGGGUUCCAAAACCUAGAUGGCACCACUUUCUUCUAGCACUAGCAGGAGAGAGUCUUGAAUAGCACUCACCUACGGUCUCUAGCAAGCACUAUCUUUAUAGAGCGAUGGCACAUAGCAAGUCAAUGACCUCUUGCUCUAAAGUACCGCAGAUGAAGAAUGUGCAAGCAAAAUGAGAGGAGCAAGGUGACUCAGACUAUGCCCAAUGUCUACAAUGUGCCCCUGUGCCAGAAAGGAUGCCUUUUACUGUGGUACUCACAGUCAUAA